UAGGGAAUAUUGCGCAAUGGGGGAAACCCUGACGCAGCAACGCCGCGUGAGUGAGGAAGGUCUUCGGAUUGUAAAACUCUUUUAUCUGGGAAAAAUGUGUACGGAGCUAAUACCCCGUGCAGUGAUGGUACCAGAUGAAUAAGCACCGGCUAACUUCGUGCCAGCAGCCGCGGUAAUACGAAGGGUGCAAGCGUUAUUCGGAAUCAUUGGGCGUAAAGCGCGCGCAGGCGGAUUUGUAAGUCAGGUGUGAAAUCUCGGGGCUCAACCCCGAAACUGCGCCUGAAACUACAAGUCUAGAAUGUCGGAGGGGGCAGGGGAAUUUCACGUGUAGGGGUAAAAUCCGUAGAGAUGUGAAGGAACACCGGAGGCGAAGGCGCCUGCCUGGACGACUAUUGACGCU
RNAcentral lists this ribosomal RNA (400 nucleotides) under uncultured bacterium. RNAcentral's name for it is "bacterial SSU rRNA". It matches the Rfam family "Bacterial small subunit ribosomal RNA", at positions 355 to 747 of the family's 1533-position model. The record is from RNAcentral.